Molecule: long non-coding RNA, 426 nt
Organism: Ostrea edulis (European flat oyster)
Lineage: Eukaryota; Metazoa; Mollusca; Bivalvia; Ostreida; Ostreidae
Exons: 6
Source: RefSeq, a predicted model, not a curated record
AUACUUGGAGGGAAAUCUAUUAGGAACGUUACCAAAUGGAAUUUUUGAUGCAUUGACGAAGCUACAGACACUAGACUUCGAGGGAAAUCAAUUAGAAACGUUACCAAAUGGAAUUUUUAAUGCAGUGACGAAGCUACAGACACUAGACUUGAGAAACAACAAAAUAACAACGUUACCAAAUGGAAUUUUUGAUGCAUUGACGAAGCUAGAAACACUAAACUUGGGUAACAAUACCAUAACAACGUUACCAAAUGGAAUCUUUAAUGCAUUGACGAAGCUACAGGAACUAUACUUGUGGGGAAAUAAAAUAGCAACGUUACCAAAUGGAAUUUUUGAUACAUUGACGAAGCUAGAGAAACUAGACCUGGAGAGAAAUAAAUUAGCAACGUUACCAAAUGGAACCUUUGAUGCAUUGACGAAACUAAA